UUAGAGGACAUGUUAAGAGCUUGUGUUAUCGACUUUAAGGGUAGUUGGGAUGAUCACUUUCCAUUGAUUGAGUUCGCCUACAACAACACCUAUCAUUCCAAUAUUCAGAUGGCUCCAUUUAAGGCUCUAUAUAAGAGGAGAUAUGGAUCUCCUAUUGGUUUGUUUGAGGUAGGUGAGACUGUAUUGAUUAGGCCAUAUUCAUUGUUCGAUGCUUUGGACAAAGUUUAGUUGAUCAAAGAGAGGCUUGAGACAGCCUAGAGCCGACAGAAAUAUUAUAUAGAUGUGAGGAUUAGGGAUCUCAAAUUUAAGAUUGGUGAUUUUGUAUAUUUGAAGAACUCUCCCGUAAAGGGAGUGAACAUAUUUGACAAAAAGAGGAAGCUCAGUCCCCAAUAUGUAGGCCCUUUUAGGAUCUUGAGUCAUUUUGGGAAGGUAGUAUAUGAGCUUGAGUUGCCUGCAGAUUUGGCAUCAGUGCAUCCAGUGUUCCAUGUUUCCUUAUUAAAGAAGUGUAUUGGUGACCUAGCCGUAGUUGUUCCUUUAGAGAGCUUAGAUAUUCAGAAUGGCCUUUCUUACAAAGAACUCCCAGUUGAAAUCUUAGAUCGCCAGAUUCGUAGACUAAGAAACCAAGAAGUUCCCUUGGUCAAAGUUCUUUGGCUGAAUUAGUCUGUUGAGGGAGCUACUUGGGAAGCAGAAGUAGACAUGCGUACCAAAUACCCUCACCUUUUCUCUGCAAACUCAGACUCAACUUAAGGUAAUAGUUUUCCCUAGAGUUUCUCAUUUUCAUUCUCAGUUCCAGCCAUAUAAUCAUGUUCACGUCAUUGCAUGCAUUCACAAAUCAGUUCAGUCAGUCACCAUGUUUCAGACUCAGUCAUGUAAUCAUGUUUUUAGUUAUGCAUAAUCAACAUGUAAUCUCAGUACCUUCGUAUUCUCAGCUUAAUCAGUCUCAUUCGAGAAUGGAUAUUCCCAAGGGGGAGAUAUUGUAAUGCCCUGUAAUUAUCUUAGCUGAAUUCAGCCCAUAGUACAUGUAUAGAGGCUUAGAACCUAAAAAUUGGCUAAGUGUUGGAGACUUAGUUUUAUUUUUGAACUCUUAACUAUGUUGACUUUUAAAGUGACCUUCCUAACCCCGAGAUGUAAGUUAGAUGUUCAGGGGUAUAAGAGGCAUGUCUUGGGUAAGUUUCAGAUUUUUCGGACGAGGUUUGGACCACAUUUGGAUUUCCAAAACAGCAGCUCAUCGCGAUUAUAGUACGUCGCGGUGGCUAUGGUGGUGGUCACCUCAUCACGUCGCGGAGAAGUUUAAAAUGAUAAUUGUCAGAUUCCAGCAAGUAACCGUGAUUACACCGCGUUGGGGUAGAGUCGCGAUGACAACCUUGGCGCAUUGCGGUAAAGGUUCAAUCGAUGUUCUCGUUAUGAAUUUUAAUUUUCCAAGGGUAGUCUUGUCAUUUUCACUCGCCCAAAUCUAUUCAUGACACAAAAUUAAAACCCCAAAGGGGCAUUAUAUGCCCUAUUAUUCAUAAUUUCUCUCUAAGAAAGUAAUUCUCUCUCAAGAACGAACCCUUGCCCCUUUAAGAUUCAAGCUUAAGUUUUAAGAAAACCUCCAAGAACCUUCAUGAAUUCUUCAAUUAAGGUAUGUUAAAUGUUCAUCCAUGGGUCCUUUUCACCCAUGGGGUCCAAGAACCCAUCUUUAAGUUUUAAAGCUAUGGUUUUCACUUGUUAUCAUGAAUUUUAUCCAUGAAUUUCCACGAAUCUCAAUUUUAUAUCAUGUUUACAUGUAAUUGUUGUUGUUAUUAAGCCCUAAACAUUUUGAAUGGCGCUUGUUCACUGAUUUAAGUCUUAAUUGGUGAUUUUAGUAUUAAAAUCAUGCUAUCUUUACAUGUUAAAACUAUCCCCAUAUUUAAACCAUGAAUUGGAAGUGUUUUAUGAAAUGCCCAAAGGAAUGUGUUUUGAAUAAUGACUACUUAUCAUGUCCUUAAGGUUUUAGCACGGUCUUGUUAUUAUUGCUAUCGAGUUCUGGGGGUUAUGAAUACCCAAAAACUUAGCUGUUUACCUAAUUUUCAGUAUGUACAGAAUGGUUUUAGAUACAUUUGAGUCUUAUCAGUUCAGUCAGUUAGCAUACCAGUCUAACUUAGAUUAGUUCAGUAAUCUGAGUUAGUUCAGUUGGGAGUAGGAUUUAGUAUCGAGCGAACCCAGAGAUGGGGGCUCACCUACCAGUUGAGGUUGUGACCUUUAGUAGCUGUCCCUGCAUUCUAGAACUAUGUAUCUAGCAAAGGUUAUAUGUUAACCUGCCAGUUGAGGGUUGACAUAUGUCUCACUAGAGCAGCUGCCAGUAGAGGGUGACUCUUUAGUCCUUCGGGACUUCACUUUAGUGGAUCCACGCAACCAUGUUUUAGUACCUGUGGCACAGUACUAACACCCUUCCAACAAGGGUCACAGGUUGGACCCCAAUUAGCUCAUAUUGGGGCAUAUCAGUUAGAUGAUCGCUUCCACAGUCUCAGUCCAGUAUUCAGCUCAGAGUUCAGUUUCCAGGCUUGCUUGACCAGGGCAUAUAGUUAUUGGUCAUUCAGUAUCAGUAGUUCAGUAUUUGAGGUUACAGUCUACCCUAGUAUCAUGUUAUAUGCUUGGUCAUGCACUCUCAGAUUUUACAGUUUUCUUGCAUACUAUACAUUCGUUAUCUCAUGCUAUUUAUUCAGUCAGUUAUUAUUCCUGCAUAUGAGCCAUGCAUACUAGCCUAACCACAUUUAGCAUACCAAUACAUUCAAAGUACUGACUGCAUACUCGUUUCUUGCAUUAUGAUGUCUCAUAUCAUAAGUUCGAAUGCUCAGGCUCCUAAUCGUACUUAGACUUUCCAGUCCAUCAACAAUAAUAGCAGUGGUGAGUCUUCAUCCUUUAAUGACAACUUAUCUUAUAUUCAGUUAUGUUAGUAGUUCAGUCAUUUAGUCAGUCGAAUUUAGUUGGGGGCUUGUCCCAUCAACUCCACUUUCAGUCAGUUUAGAGGCUUUCAGACUAGUACAGAUAGAUAGUCAGUUUUCAGUUGUUACUAUCAGUUGUUUUAUCAAUAUUGACAGUAUGUUCCAGACAUUUUAAACUAUGAUUCAGUAUUGAUUUUCAGUUGCUAAAAUCUUAUGGCAUUUCUAGUUAAGUUCCACACAUAUUCUUGGUUAUUUUAUUCAGUGCUCACAGCAGGUACCAACAAGGGUUAGCUUUAUGGUCCUUCGGGGCUGUAAGCACCAUAUGGCAUCCAAGGUGUACUCUCGGGGCAUUACAACCACACACACUAUUAACCCCUAUUCUCACAUAACCUCAAGAGAGAGAUCUAGCUACACAUAAGAUAAAUAAGCAUAGAUAUACCAAACAUUUCCAUUGAAAUGACUUGUUGAAGAUUAAGUGAAUGUCAUUUCAAAAUUGGAAUUCCCAAAAAUAAACAAUGGAAGUGAGCUAAUCCUCUACUUAGAAAGUCUCCAAUGUAUUCUUCACCCAAAAUUUAUACAAUAUUUUCUUCUCCAAGUAUGGAGGCUAUGAACUCAAGUCUAAACCUAAAAAAUUGGGUAAGAUAAAAUGUUAUCAUGAUGUGAGGGUUUGAGUCUUUUUGUCAAAAUUGAGAUCAACCACGUGCAUUCCAAACUUAGCCCUUGGGCUGCUUUCUUUCGCUAAGUUGCGUCGUGUCUACAAGACUGCGGUUAUCUUCCGCAACCACGGUUUAUUGAUUUCCAUUUGAUUGCCACAAUGGUGGUCGCUAGACCGCGACGACGGUAGCUGAGGCUAGCUCCUGUUAUAAGUCUUCAACUGCACUUUCUUUCUCCCUUUUGAUCAUUUUAAGCUCCAAUCCACAUCUUUCUAUCUUUUCAACUCUAUGCCUGCAAAGAGUGGAUAUUAGUGCAUUUACUCACAAAUAUAUCUCAUUUAUUCAUUCAAAAUAAGGUAAUGUACAUGAAUGUUGAGUGCGAAUGAGUGAUAAAAUUACCACUCAUCAGGCAGCUAAGAUAUUUUUCAAUAUUAUCAUUAAUUUCACUUUUUUAUAGGAAUUGGUGCAAAAAUCAUAGUAGGGUUCAUUGCCAUUAAAUAUAGCUACAAUAGUUGUAGUAAAUUUGCCAUAUUUAACCUACAAAAAAGAAAGAAAAUUUAGGCAUCAUAAUAAGGUAAUAGCUAAACAUUAAAUUAUUAUGGUUGAAAAUAGCAUCUGUUUAUCACAGGAUAAACAACUUGCAAUUUCACCAAUUGUAAUUUCUUUGGCCCUUUUAAUUUGGUUACUUGUCAGUUGAGUAAUAUCUUUAUGAGUUUUAUUCUGGAAACAAACCUGCAUGUUCGUUACUUAGUCUAUUAUAAUAAUAAUAAUAAGUUACUAUCAUUUGUUUGGAUGUAUAUGAGGACGCAUAUUAUCAUUCUCUUAGAGAUAUUGCUUUUUCAAAUGUGGGUUCUACCCACAUACUUCUAAUAUAGGUAGAAGAUAGUCCAAAAUUUCCUACACAAUAAAAUAUUCAUUGAAAAGUGUAGCUUUAAUUUUUGUAUCCUAAAAAAUUAGAUUUUAAUAGAUGAACACUAUGGUCUUUGCAAAAUAUCAUAACAGGUGCUAAUUGGUGGUAUCAAAAUAUGAAACUGACAGAGACAAAAUUAAAAUUUCAAGACAUACAUAAAAUGAUAAUCCUCUCACUUGAAGAACAACGUGCAAGUAAUCAAAUUGCAAGCCACUAUCAAGAACAAUGUGUAAGUAAUCAAGGCCCCUCCGGAGAGCCAUUAAAUUAUGUCAAAUUGUGGAGAACUUGUUAGAUUGUAGAGACCAGUAAUCAGAAGUGGUGUUUAUGAGCAGUGAUGGAAAGAGGAUAGGAAGAGGAGCAACACAGUGGUGGAGGUGCCUCAUCGGUCAUCAAUCCCAGCGAGGAGUGGCAACUAGUGAAUACGGUGUUAAAGAGGAGGGAUGAUAAUGGUGGUUGAAGCCUGUUCGCCAGAGCUCUAAUAGUGGCAAUGGUUAAGGGAAAAUAAGAAAGAGGAAAGAUGGGAGGGAAAGGAAAUCUUGUUUUCUUUGUAUUUGGUGUGUAUGUAUGUGUGCGUUUUUAUGUAUUUUUUUGUGUAUUUGAAAAGAAAAAAUAUGUGUGUGGUGAAGAAUAUGUGUGUAUUUCUGAAUGUAUUUUUUAUGUGUUUGUGAGAGGAAAAGGAAAGAAGAGUAAAAAAGAAUGUGUUUUCAUAUCUUCCACCCACCACCUAUUUAUAAUAAAUAUUGGCAUUCUUUA
This is a long non-coding RNA of Capsicum annuum, 5219 nucleotides long. RefSeq lists it as uncharacterized. Lineage: Eukaryota; Viridiplantae; Streptophyta; Magnoliopsida; Solanales; Solanaceae. The record is from RefSeq and is a predicted model, not a curated record. The transcript has 3 exons.